RNAcentral lists this ribosomal RNA (243 nucleotides) under uncultured bacterium. RNAcentral's name for it is "partial 16S ribosomal RNA". It matches the Rfam family "Bacterial small subunit ribosomal RNA", at positions 113 to 354 of the family's 1533-position model. The record is from RNAcentral.
CAACGUGAGCAACCUGCCUUUCAGAGGGGGAUAACAGUUGGAAACGACUGCUAAUACCGCAUAACGCUGCGAUGGGGCAUCCCGAUGCAGCCAAAGGAGCAAUCCGCUGAAAGAUGGGCUCGCGGCCGAUUAGCUAGUUGGUGGGGCAACGGCCCACCAAGGCGACGAUCGGUAGCCGGACUGAGAGGUUGAUCGGCCACAUUGGGACUGAGACACGGCCCAGACUCCUACGGGAGGCAGCAG